RNAcentral lists this ribosomal RNA (484 nucleotides) under uncultured bacterium. RNAcentral's name for it is "partial 16S ribosomal RNA". It matches the Rfam family "Bacterial small subunit ribosomal RNA", at positions 30 to 507 of the family's 1533-position model. The record is from RNAcentral.
AUUGAACGCUGGCGGCAGGCCUAACACAUGCAAGUCGAGCGGAUGAAGGAAGCUUGCUCCUGGAUUCAGCGGCGGACGGGUGAGUAAUGCCUAGGAAUCUGCCUGGUAGUGGGGGAUAACGUCCGGAAACGGGCGCUAAUACCGCAUACGUCCUGAGGGAGAAAGUGGGGGAUCUUCGGACCUCACGCUAUCAGAUGAGCCUAGGUCGGAUUAGCUAGUUGGUGGGGUAAAGGCCUACCAAGGCGACGAUCCGUAACUGGUCUGAGAGGAUGAUCAGUCACACUGGAACUGAGACACGGUCCAGACUCCUACGGGAGGCAGCAGUGGGGAAUAUUGGACGAUGGGCGAAAGCCUGAUCCAGCCAUGCCGCGUGUGUGAAGAAGGUCUUCGGAUUGUAAAGCACUUUAAGUUGGGAGGAAGGGCAGUAAGUUAAUACCUUGCUGUUUUGACGUUACCAACAGAAUAAGCACCGGCUAACUUCGUG